UACGUAGGUGGCAAGCGUUGUCCGGAUUUACUGGGCGUAAAGAGCGCGCAGGCGGUCGAAUAAGUCGAAUGUGAAAGCCCCCGGCUUAACUGGGGAGGGUCAUUCGAUACUGCUCGACUUGAAGGCAGGAGAGGGAAGUGGAAUUCCCGGUGUAGUGGUGAAAUGCGUAGAGAUCCGGAGGAACACCAGAGGCGAAAGCGGCGUCCUGGGGUGAGGUUGACGCUCAGACACGAAAGCAUGGGGAGCGAACGGG
Molecule: ribosomal RNA, 253 nt
Filed under: uncultured bacterium
Lineage: Bacteria
Description: partial 16S ribosomal RNA
Rfam family: Bacterial small subunit ribosomal RNA
Source: RNAcentral